UUCAGCAAGCACAGAGAGAAGAAAGCGAUGAGGAAGCUAGCCAGGAAAUGGAAGAAAUCUGGAAACGGAGAAGAAGAUGACGACUUCUCUCUUCCUACUCGUGACGAUUUCCAGCCCAUGGAAACCCUUGAACAAGAGGAGUUGGUCCGAUCACUUGAAAAGAGUCAAGCUCAACAGUCUCUCUUGUGGAGGAGAGUGUUUGCAGCCAUUCUCUUUUGCUAUGCUAUGUUUCUCAUCUACUCAAUUUAUCAACAAGCUUCGUCUCCCUGGGAACUGCGGUAUCAUGCUUACUUCAUGGGCGAGGUUGACUCAUGGAUCAUUAUAUCUGCAGAUUGGGCGGCUGUUUUAGUUUGUUCCGUAGCAAUUGCUGGACUACUAUUCAAUUGUAGUAAUCAUAGAAGAUGGCUUUGGUAUUCCUGCUUGGGUAGCCUUUUCGUGGCAUUAUUCUGGCUCUAUUACAUGCUGAGAUUGCCAAGAUUCAGGUGGGAUGUUGUUUGGCUACCGCUUGGGCCUCUUAGAGGGGUUUUGCAACCCCAUCACCAAUGCUGAUUGGAAUGAGAAGGAAGAAGAUAAUGGCGAUGGCAAUGAUCUUCGAAGAUGAAACCCAUUUUUCAUUGAUGUGGAGCUGGAAUCUGCUUAUAUGUAGACCAUCUACUGAAUGAGUCAUCUGAAGAAGUAAGAAAACUUCGAGGAUACAUGUAUGCCUAUAAAGCCAGCUAAAAGUUACCAAGUGUCCGAAAAAGGCAGAACUGGAUAGAAUCACUUGCUAGAGCGGGCAGGGUUGAUGGAAAUUGAUACUCACAAAUGUAGUCCUGAAAAUCAAAGGGUUGAUUAUUGCCAUCUGAUCGAGCAGUGCACCAUUGGGAAGCCUCUUGCUGUUUUUCAAGUGAAAGUAACUUCUAUUCUCAUCAAUUGGUUGUUUUUGAGGACAGGCACUUGUUUUUGGUUAUUGUUGCUCGUUGCUGCUAUGUAGCUUAAGUAAAUGCUUUGUUGUUUGUUUGGUUGAUGUAUUUUUUUUUUGCCCUGUUUCUUUUAACUGGGAACAUUUUUGGUUGUAACCAUAGUUCCUGUUGAAGAAACAAAGAACUUGUUUUACCUGAUGAAAGUGGGAAAUACAUUACCAAUCAGAAUGGUAAAUCUGAGAUUGUAAGCACCUUGAACAGGUAGACCUGCCUGUUUUCCUUAGCAACGUUGGCAUUUCCCUGUUCGGGACGGGGAGUGGUGACCCCUAUUAGCCCGGACGUGCCAACAGCUAUACUAUACUCGACGAUGGCUCCAUACUGCUAUUUUAUAGUAUGGGGACCCGCAAUAAAAGAAUCGGAUGGCAAUCAUUUUUUCGCUAUAGUAGGUACUGCCCUUAUUCUAUUCCUUCCUUGCGUCAGGAAUAGCGGGCAGGCACUUUCUUC
This is an RNA transcript of Diospyros lotus (date-plum), 1406 nucleotides long. RefSeq lists it as uncharacterized. The record is from RefSeq and is a predicted model, not a curated record. Lineage: Eukaryota; Viridiplantae; Streptophyta; Magnoliopsida; Ericales; Ebenaceae. The transcript has 8 exons.